CAUCACAUUGAAAGUAUUUAUCACAUGAACACCAAACAUCAUUCAAAAUUAAAAUAGACUUAUUUCUAAGAAAAACAGAACCACAUGAGUCUUAGGCAGCAACAGUGGCAGUUUCAGAAGGUUUGUUCUCAGGCUCAAUAGAGACAACUGUGGCAGUUUCAGAAGGUUUGUUAUCAGGCUCAACAGGGUCAAUAGUUACAGCUUCUGAAGGCUUGUUUUCAGGUUCAGCCUCAGUUGCAGUUUCUGUGGGAUUGUUUUCAGGUUCUACCCAGAAUUCAGUUUUCUUUCCAGUUUUGGAAACAGUGUCAAAAACAUCUUGUGGCUUUACAUUUCCUUUCACAGUCACUUUUUGUUCCUUCAUAUCAAUGUCAAAUGAUUCUACACCUGUGAAGAACAAAUGUGUUAUUUUGAUACAAUAUUCAUAGAGGAUGUUUGGUUGGUAUAUGUCCAUCCCCUUGGUUAUGUCACAUAACACUAAUUCAAAUUCAAAUUGAAAGGUUUUGAAAAUUAUUUAAACAGUUUGAAAUGAAAUAACCAUGCUAUAGAUGUUGAAAUAGAAAUAAGUAAACAUAUGGACAGCAUAUCUUGAUUAACCUUUCAAAAAAAAAAACAUAUCUUGAUUAAUAAAAUUUAUGGGAAAAAAUAUAGAGAUAUUACAUUGUCACAAUUAUUAAUUCAACAUGAUAACAAAGAUUAUUUAUUUGCUCUAGGAAUUAAAAAUACCUUCCAUUUUUUCCAAGACCCUAUUGACUGCUCCUGAACAGCCUGAGCAUGACAUUUUUACUUUGAGGACAACGGUCUGCAAUGAUCACAAUGGAAAAAUUUCAAAUUCAUAGUAAAUAGCAUUUUUUUUUAUAAAGGUUAAGCACAUUCAUAAAUUGAAUUCAAUUUAAAAAAGGAAAAUAAUUUGAAGAUGGUGAUAAUAAGAACAAGGCCGUUCUCGUGAGUUUAACUCAGUUGAUAGAGACAAUGCAUAAUAUAUGCAAGAAUCAACAUUUGAGCCCCGGACACCUCACUUAUUCAUCUUAUAAAUGUGAAUUUCUAGCCACUAAACUACUUGACAAAAAAUAUAAGAACAAAGCAGGGCAUAAAAAAAGUAGGAAUAUCUGACAGAAUAGUCAUGUGUGGAUCCUUAGGAUAACUUGAUAAAGCAGAUUAAUCAAAAAAUGUAUUGCUAUCAAAAAAACAAAAUCAAACUAAUAACAACACAAAUUUAGGAAAAAACUGGAGGCCUACAUAUAUAAUCUAAAAGUAAAUCUAAAGAUUUGUAACAAACAAGGAAGAAAUAAUCAUUCUUUGCUUUAUUAGUGUUAGAAUUGAACUUCUACUUCGUAAUUUGUUGACAUGCAAUAACAAUGAAAUUUGUAUCAUGCAAUCAUCUUGUAUGUGAGUGCAUAUCAUCAAAAGGAAGAAAAAAAAUUGAUCAAUCUUCUCUACUUUCAUCAGAACCAAAUUUUCUAAUAUAAUUAUAAAACAAAAUACAAAAAAUUACAAAGGAUCCAUGAUAUCUCAAUUCAAAAACUCAUCAACUUCAACACAAAACGUCUAAAGCAAGGAACUAGAUCAAAGAAAAAACAUAAAAUAAUAAAUCCAGAAUCACAAUGAUCAAGCUUAAGAAAAAUAGAAGAUCAACAACAACAUAGAAAAAGAAGUAUAAAGGUUAAGCACCUCAGAAGACAUGGUUAUGAGUUUGAAAUAAAGUGAACCAAAAAGAAGAAGAAUGUAUUCUGAAUUGGAUGGUUAUGGAAUGAGGGUUGUGGUAAUGGGAGUGGUGCCUUUAUACUAAAAAUCAAUGAGAAUAUGUGGUAAUGGGAGUGGUAGUAGCAUUGUAAUAUACGGAAUUACUCCAUUAUGUUGCAAAAUAUUCUUUUUUUUUAAAAGCUAUUCACUUUGAGGGAUAAUGCAUAAUAUAUAUAGAGGCCGAAGUUCGAACACUCCAUUUAUAUGAUACUAGUAAUAGUUAAUUUUAUUUUUGUAAAAAAAAAAAGGAUAAAUUUUAUUAAAUUUUAGCAUUAGUUCUUUAACCCCUCAAAAGAAUUAUUAGUUCUUUAAAAAAGAUUUUUUUAUUUUUUCUUGAAUUAUUAAUACUUUACUAUCAUUUAAUUUAGUUUGACUUUAUGUCAAUUAUAUUUUUAUUAAUAUUUAUUAAAGUAUUUUGAAUUGUGUUAUGAUAAAAUAAGGAUUUAAUUCACAUACAUGAUAAGUUAAAGAAUUUUUACAUUAUCAGUCCCUCAAUAUUAUUUAGAAUAUAUAUUUGACUUUUAUAAUCAUAAUUAAUUUUAAAGUCAAAAUUAAACUCAAAAUGUUAUGAUAAGGAAUAAUUAAAUAAUUGUGAAAAUUUUGCUUACACGAUUUGAUGGAUGCAUUAAUCAUUGAAUUUUUUAAAUUAUGAGAUUAGACAUGAGCAGUUAGAAUUUAUUAAGAGUUUACUUUUAAUAGAAUAAGAUAAGAUUUUACUUGUUUUUUCUCAUUUGUUUAUGUUUCUAUAAUAGAAUUAGAAGUCAAGACAGGGUGUGCAGGUUGGUGAGCCAAUAUAUUGGAAGCAGGCUUAAUGAUAAUUAAAAGCAGAAUUUUGCAGUACAAAAGAAAUACAACCGGAGGUUCCAAUGCUUCCUUUUCAAGCUAAAAAAUUGUUGUACUUCACAGUUGAAUUCUAACUCUAUUUGUAAGUAUUGUAGUACAAGUCUAGAAGAACUUUUUUCUCUUUUUCUUUCUUUAUCAUCAACGAGAAUCGGUCUUACCUAAAACAAAAUGGUUGGGCCUUGAAGGGAACUCAUUGAUCAACAUAAAAGUGGAUUGCACACCCACUUUUUUGUAACCUCUUCUCAAUGGAAAGUUUUUUAUUCCAUAAACACUUACAUCGUCGCUGACACUCAACAUCAACGAAAAUCCUACUAUUGUCAGAAAGAUUUUCGUUACAACAAUGGUAAAAUGAAGGGAGUCUUGAAAUCAUCUUAUUGAAUUAGGAGAAAUCAUAUAAGUGAAGGGAACCUUGAAAUAAUCUCAUUGAAUCAGGAGUAAUAAACCUUGACAUUAGGUAUAUAAUCAAGUCAUCUUCACACUUACUAUACCAACAAAACAAACUUAUGAUAUUAUUUUUUUUGAGUAUGAUAUUUGAUUUUUUUUAUAAUUCGCAUAACUUUUCCGUUAAAUUAGUGAAAUUUAGAAAUAAAUAUAUAUAUCAUCAUUCAUUAUGUCGGUGUAUAGUUAGGACAAUGGGAUGAAAUAAAAUUGUACCCGCAUGGAUCCAUGGAUAGAAUAUGUAAGUAAAAUAAAUGAAUAUUUCAAUUACCCGUUAUUUAACAUGUACGUUGCGAAUUUAAUGAUACUCGUUCAUGUAAGUAUCAUUAUACUUGUUAAUAAAUUAAAAAAUUACUUAAAUAUCCUUACCUGAAUAUAAAAGUUGUCUUUCAAACUAUUUCCAUAAAAGAAAAACCUAGAUAUUAUUUAUGUUCCUCUCUUUUGGACCUCUCAGUGCUUCCAUAGACCUCAUAUUUUGUAUACUUUUGUUGAAUGUGAUGAACUUUAUUUUGGUUGAUGAAAUGUAUUAAUAUUAUUAUGUUUUCGAAAAAUGAAGUAAAUGAAUGUGACAAACUUUUGUCGCUAUAUUUUAGGUAAUUAAAAAAAAUUACAUUUAUUUUAUAAUGUUAUCCAGGAAUAUCCAUUAAAAAAAAUUGAAAACUAGGUAUCCGAUCCAAUAACCGACUAUUUUGAGGGGAUCAAUCUCACUAGCCACAUGCGGAGGCCUCGUUUAAAGCCAAACAAAGUUAUGCAUGGACUUGUCCACCAAAAUUAGCACCAAAGGGAAUCGAACAUGAGACAUUGAGAGGAGCACGCUCCAAGAUUCUCAAGCCAACCACUAGACCAACCCCAAAUGAGUAUGAAUAUUGAUAAAUACUCGUUGAUACCUCAAAAUUUGUGGAUUACUCACAUAAUGGAUAUCCACGUGAAUAUGAAGAAACCAUGUGUUUAUGUACGGACUUGCCCACCGAAAUUAGCAUCAGAGAAAAGCGAACCCGAGACUUUGAGAGGAGCACACUCCAAGAUCCCCAAGCCAACCACUAGACCAACCCCAAAUGAGUAUGAAUGUUCAUAAAUACUCGUUGAUACCUCAAAAUUUAUGGAUUACUCGUAUAAUAGAUAUCCACAUGAAUAUGGAGAAAACACGUGUAAUAGAUUUAUCCAAUGGAGCGAACAUAUAUAUCAUAUAAUUCGUGUGUGCAGAUACCCAUUUACAUCCCUAGUUAGGACUCACAAACAAAUUAAUAUAUGGGUUAAUAGGUCUUUAUCCCUCUGUAAUAUAGGUCAUUUCCGGUUUCCCUCCUGUAAAUUUUUUUUUUAUUUACCCCUUGUAAAAAAAAAAAAUAUUUACCCCCUAAUAGGCCAAACAAAAACGAAAAAUUUCUUGAAAAAAAAUUUUUGUUUUUGUUUGGCCUAUUAGGGGGUAAAUCAAAACAAAAAGAUUUUACAGGGCGUAAAUAAAUAAAAAAUUACAGGGGAGAAAACCGGAAAUGACAUAUAUUAUAGGAGGUAAAGACCUAUUAACCCAUAAUAUAUUAUUUACAUGCUUGAGGAUAUAUAAUUUGAUAUUUUCUUACAGUUUAAUCUUUAAUGCUAAGAGUCUUGAGUUAGAAUAUACCAUACCAUCCCAACUCGAGUGUUUAUAUGCGUAAGAAUUAAGAUUAGUUCAACAAAUAAAGUUGAGUUAGGAAAAAAAAUCAAAUUAUUAUAGAGAUAGCGACAAUAUUUUGAGGUUUUAGUUUUUACAAUAAAGUAAGGUUGAAGAAAUAUUAUUAUUGCAUGGCAUGCAAUAAUGAAGUGGGCUUCGUCAUUCCUCCAAUCAAAAUUGUCCCCCUCUUAGUGGAAUGAAUUCCUUAAAGCAUAGGAUAAUAUUGCAGUACAAGAAAUGUAAUACAACCUUUAUUAAGCAAAAACUAAUAAUAUGGUAGUAUGUAGUACCAUGACACUUUUGAGUAUGAAUUCCAAUAUUGUAUUGGUAGAUACUAACCUUGUAGUACAAAGUAGGUGUCUCAAACGUUGUACUAUACUCUUUCUUUUUUUGGGAUACAAUGUACUACUCUCUUUAUUUACUAUAGUCAGUACCACAUAUGCAUGGGUAGAACUUAAGAAAGGUUAAGUCAUAUAUUCUCUCUCAAAAAAAAAAAAAAAAAGUUAAGUCAUAUAUAACCUCAACUAAUUGAGCUUGCAUGGCAUUAUAUCCCACUAAUGGUAUGUUAAGAUGGAAUUUAUUUUGUAAGAAAAGAGGGAAACGACUAAACAAUAAGUCGAGAAGUACUAAGUAUUAACGCAUCUAUGGUUUCUUCUUAAGCAAGCAAUCUGAAACUAGGGUUUCUAAUGAAGGAGAAGAAGAUAGUUAUGGCGGUUAGGGUUUGUUAUAGUUUGAUGAAAGAGAGAGAGAUAGUAUUGGAAAGUUGUUAUUCAUGUUGGAUUAUGAAAAGUUAGUUACAAGCAAGUAUAUAUACAAUGACUUAGAGAGCAAGUCUCUUGUAACAACCUGACAAACUUAUCCAAAAAAUAAACUAAACUCUUAAUCACUUGCUAAACAUGAUUAUGGAUUAAAAACACAAACUAAUACUAACAUACACUACAAAGCUAAAUUAAGCAAAGAAAAAAUAUAAUCAACACUAAAGAAUGAAUUAUGUUAGCAAGCAAGUGAAUCGUAUGUGUUAGGCCCUAUAGGGAUUUAUUAGAAGUUCUCUAAUUAGGGUGUUGGAGAAUAAAACAAUCUCAUGGAGAAAAGAUUGGAGAAAAAUAAUGGACUACUCUUCGAAUUCACAAUGUGAACAACAAUUUUUUAUAAUACAUUUCAAACGCAACCGGGUUUAGAGCUAAAUCAUGAGCCAAUUUUAAAUCCAAAUGAAGAGCCCACAAACAAUUUAUAUUUCUUUUAAACAUAAACAAUCCUAAAAGGAGAAAACUUAGGUACAAUUCCUUAUGUACUUUUCGUAUGGUUUUUAACUAAAUUCACCAUGAUUUCCUCAAAUCCAUAAUUUUCACAAAGUUUGUUAUAUCCAAAAAAUAUGUAUUUUUAGUUAAGAACCAUACAAAAAGUACCUAAGUAAUUGUAUCUAAGUUUUCUCCAUCCUAAAAUUCAGAAGAAAAAAAAUAUGAGAGAUGUUCACACUUACUUAUUGGUUGUAGAUAAUAUGUGAUUUCUAUGACUUUAUUAAAUUUGUUGAAGAUCAACAAUUGAAUGAAUAAAUAAGUCUUUUGGUCCAAAGUUCAAGUUUGAAAAGUUUAAACUAGGACAUCAUUAGGCUGAUGAGGCGUCUCAUUUGGUGUUGAUAUAUUUUUUUUUUUUUAUCCUCGUGAGCUUAGCUCAGUCGGUAUGGACAAUGCAUAAUAUAUGCAAGGUUCGGGUUCAAACCUGGCCACCACAAAAAAAAAAAAAAAAAAACAUUUUUGAUUGUUAAAAAAAAGUUUCAAAAGUUUAAACCACCAAAAACGUAUAUGGCAGAUUGUUGAGAAAUUAAAAAUGGGAGUUAUCUACAGAAACUCACCAAACGGGAGUUAUCUCCGGAACAAAUUUGAGAAAUUAAAAAUGGUCAGAUUAAAAUUGAAGAUUUUUUAUGGGGAUUAUAAAUGCAUUUAAGUUAAAAAAAAAUUCUAUGAUGAAGUCAUGAGAAUGACUUUUCUGGUGAAGUUAAUCCUAUGACUAAUCUAUUUCUCUUCUUAAAGUUUGCUUUGAUAAUUUAAAAAUAAAUCCAAAAAUGUAUGUAUUCCUUAUCUGAGAUUCCAUAUUCUUUCAAUGAUGUCUCAUGAAAACAUAUGCAAUAAUCAAUAUGUGCUUGAAAGGUGCAACCACAAAUUGAUUGAGAUGAAACAAGACAGAGUUCAAGAGGUUAAAGCCCACCUAUCCAGGUUCAACAUAAAUAUAGCCAAUCAUUCAAAACCGACGAUCUCUUCUAAUCAUAAACUAAUAGGUUAAAAAUUAUUUCAACUUAUGGAUGUCUUACAAGUAUGCAAACUUCAUUAUGGGAACCCAAAAACUACAACAAAAAAAUUACAGGGACUAAAACCAAAACGAGACAUAUAUGCAGAGACUAUUAGCCAAAAAAAAAUAUACUGGGAAGGACAAAUUUUACAACUGUUUCUAAUAAGAUUUGAACAAAGUUACAAAAUCAAAUUCUUAUUAUUAAGUUGAUAUCUCAUCAUUCAUCAAUAACAAUGUCUUUAUUGAAUUAUAAAAUACUCAAAUCAAUUAAUCUCAAAGUUUAGCUUAGGGUUCACGAUCUGAAAUAAUGCUUUGAGUUCUUGAUUCACGAGUUGCUUCACUGAAAUUUCUCUCAAAGGAAUGCUUAAUGGUGUAACCUCAAUGGAAAAACUUUGUGACACACUUUUCAUUGUUGGUCUAGAGGAAGGAUUUGGAUUUAAGCAUGCAGAUGCUACUACAACAACAUGAAUUAUGUCAAGUAAAACUUUCACAUCAUUUGGAAGUGGGAGACGUUGGUCUAAUACUUCACAUAAUUUGAUGUCUUGAGUUGAUGUUAAUUGAAGUGAUGACAAUAUUUCCUCGGGAUAUCUUCCCACUAAAAUUUCAAGUGCCACUACUCCAAAACUAUAUACAUCACAUUUUUCACUUACAACCAUAGUAUAUGCAAGCUCUGCAUUGACCAAACCACAAUGAGAAAGUCAAAGGAUGUGAAAAUACACUUAAAAAUAGAAAAUGAUAAAGAUAAUAUAAAAAUAUAUUAUUAUAACUAACUCUUAAAUAUAAAAAGUAUAUAUUAUUUUUAAUUGGGAGUUUAUUUGAAACAAGUAAUGAUUAUAUUUAACAAUUCAAAAUGAGAAUUUCUUUUCAACGAGACCUUGUAUUUAAGGGUAAAGUUAGGAGUAGACUUUUAUGACCUUAGUAUUAAAAACAAUUAAACAUGUAUGUCUUUUUUUCGUCAAGUAAUCUAAUGGCUAAAAUUCACAUUUUUUAAGAUGAAUAAGUGGGGUGUCUGGGGUUCGAAUCCCGACCCCUGCCAACUGAGUUAUUCUCACGGGGACUUAAACAUGUAUGUUAUUUGCCUGGAUUAUGAAUAUGUUUGUUAUGCAUCAUACAAAAAUUGGAAUAAAUUAAAUAAAGAGACAAGAAUAAAAUUAAUGCAAUUAAUAAUUUACCAGGAGCUAUAUAUCCAAUAGUUCCACCAACUAUUGUUUGAUUAGAUGAAUCAUAUUGAAGGAGUCGAGCUAUGCCAAAGUCAGAAACACUAGGCUGCCAUUCUGAGUUUAGCAAGAUAUUGCUAGUAGAUACAUCUCUAUGCACUAUUGGAGAGGUGAAAUCAUGAUGAAGAUAUGAUAGAGCAGAUGCAACUCCUUUAAUGGUGUUAACCCUUUUCCUCCAAUCGAAUUUUAUGGCUUCGACAUCAUCAUGCAAGACGGAGAACAAGCUUCCUUUUUCCAUAUACUGAUAGAUCAAAAACAUAACUCUUUUAUGCAAACAAAAUCCAUAAAGCUUCACAAUAUUUCUGUGCUUUAUUUCUGAUAAUAUUUUCACUUCAUUUCUAAAACUUUCAUCAAGAGAUGGCACCUCUGCUUCGUAGCUAUGAAGUUUUUUUAGUGCAACAAAUUUACCACUUGGUAAUUGUGCCUUGUAAACACUUCCAUAUGCUCCUUUUCCAAUGCAAUAUUUAAUGUCAAAGUCUUUUGUUGCUCUAAUGAUGUCAUUGUAUGCUAUUUUGCCAUCAUAAUUCCAUAUACAAAAUAAAUCACCAUUAUUCGUUGUCUCCGUGUUUCCAUGCUUGUUCUUGAUAGAAUUAUGACGACGUUUGAAGUACACGAGAAGUGAGAAGGCUAUGAUUAGAAUAGAAAGGAUAGGAAGAACAAUGAAAACAAUACGCUUUACUUUGCUAUUUUUCUUAUGAGGUUGCAAUUGGUCAUAUGAAGUGUCGAUACAUACAUCUUUGUUCCUUGUGUUCCUUGGAUUAAGAUAAGUACAUUGUGGAAUGGGAACUUUCAAACAAUUGUAAGAAAUGUCCAGAUAAAAAACAUUACAGAGAGAUUGGGGUAUCGUUCCACUGAGAUUAUUAUUACUUAAAUUAAGUUUGUAAAAAUGUCCAAACUGAGAAGGGAUUUCGCCACUAAUUUGGUUGUGACUAAGGUCAAUGGAAGUUCCAUAAUCUUUCAAUGGAAACAAAUUGGAACGAAGUGUACCAUUGAGUAAAUUGUGGGAAAUCUCAAGGGUUUCUAAAUGAGAGAGAUUUUUCACCAAAAUAGAAAAGGCGCCACUGAUGGAAUUAUAUUUUAACCGCAACGUUUUCAAUUUGGUUAAUUGGUCGAAAUUAGAUGGGAGGGAACCGGUGAGAAAAUUGUUAGAGAUGUCAAUGUAUUGUAAUUGUGUGAGAUUUGUAAGGAAAAUAGGCAAGUUUCUACUUAGUCGGUUGUGCGAUAAAUCUAUUUUUUGGAGAUUAUUCAAGAACCCUAACUCAAGAGGAAUGGAACCUUGAACGUGGUUGUUAGAGAUGUAUAGGUACUCGAGUUGUGUGAGAUUUCCUAGUGAAGAAGGAAUGAAACCUUGAAUAUUGUUAAAAGAAAUAUCAAGAUACUCUAAUCUUUUAAGAUUUCCAAGCGAAGGAGGUAACUCACCUACAAGAGAAUUGCUACGCAGAUCGAGAUAUGCAAGCUUUGCGAGAAGACCAAUUUCUUUUGGGAUACGCCCUCGUAGACCAAUUCCAAUGACAUCAAGUUUUUCUAAAUUAUGAAAAACAGACAUGUUGAGUUUUUCAAAUUGAAUAACCCAUGUCCUUGUUGCAAAAUAUAUAUUGAUUUCUUUUAUACUUCCAGCCUCAUUGCAAGAUAUACUAGACCAACUACAACGAUUGGAGAUAUUGAAGUCUGCAUCAGAUGUGUUCCACCAUUCACUAUUUAGUAUUGCAUUUGCUUCCAUUUGAAGUUGAGAUGUCACUAUGACAAAUUGAGUCCCCAUGAACAAACCCCAAGUAAGAAGAAAAAUCUUCCACAUUUUUGGACUAUAGAUAUUAGAACAAAAAUAUUUUGUCAAGUUCAUUUUUUGAGAUUGAAUGAAUUGCAUGCAAUUUUCUAAGAAGCAUCAAAAACCUUUAUACUCGUUAGACACUCCCAUUCUCAUAGACCAAUUCAAUAUGAUUUAAUGCUUUGGAUAAUUAAUUGCCUAUGCAUAUGUCACAAUAUUUUUUUUUUUUUGGAUUAGCACAUGUCACAACGUUGGAUAAGUCUAAUGUAAACGUGAAUAUAUUUUUUUUUUAAAGUAUCAACCAUAGGUGACAGGACUAAUUUUCCAAUCUCUCUAUAUAGUUGUAUCGUUUUUUUCUUCUUCUUUCAAUCUUUAUAUACAAUGUCUCUACCAAUUCAGCUAAGCUCACAAAGACAUAGUCAUAUUGGAUUUGACAUGGCAAAUAGAGAGUUUGGUUAUGAGAAAAAUAAAAUCUGAUUAAGUUUUAUUUUUGACAAAAAGUCUGAUUAAAUAUUGUAUAGCUAAAGAUCAAAUUUGAAAUACAUCCCAAAGUAUUCCCUCUUAACUAAAAUUUAUUAACAUUUUGAGUUAACUAAUUUUAUAUUCAUUAUUUUAAUAUUUUUGUAUCAUAGGCUUUUGUAACUAUAUCUCCUUCGUCUCAUUUUUUGCAAAAAGAAAAACUAUUUCAAAAUGUCAUUUUUAAUGUAAUAUUAGUUAUUUUUUAAUCAUACUCAAUCUUAUUAAUAAUAUCUGUGCAUCACUUCUAUUAAUGGAUUUCACUGUGCAUCUAUCUCCUACUUUUUUUGGUAGUUAUCUUCCACAUUUUUUUUGGGUGAUAUAGUUAUCUUCCACUUGAUCAAGUUAAUUUGAGCAAUAAAAAAAAAUUGUUGUCAUUUACGUGUUUUCUUUAAUUACUUGUGUUGAAUAACUGAAAAAUGGCACUAACAAUAAAAUAAAAUAAAAAAGAGUAGUAUACAACCAACUUUUCUAUGUUCAUCCAUUUAUGUUAGGACUUAAGCCCACGAAGAGAGCUCAACUCAAAAGACUAGUCCUAUAGGUGGGAGAACCUCAUAACUUAAGUAUCACAUCAAGUACUUGAUCUACUCGACGUGGGACUCCUAACAUUGACACGCCCUUUAAGAGCCGGUGUCCACGGCGGCUUUCACUCUAUCGGCACUAACAUGAUGGUAGCCCUUUCCUUUUUGCGGCUUCAUUCACAUAUCAGUAUUCGGUGAAACACCUUAAUCCAACCUAUAAGUAGCCCUUUCCGUGGUCCAACUCUCAACGAAAGCACCAAUUGUUAGGACUUAAGUCAAUGAGGAGAGCCCAAUCCAAAAGACUAGUCCUAUAGAUGGGAGAACCUCAUGACUUAAGUACCACAUCAAGUACUUUGAUCUACUCGAUGUGAGACUCCUAACAAUUUAUCAUGUAAAAACUUUUCUUAUAAUUUUUUAGGGUUAGAAAUGGAACAUUUAAAAUAUUAUAAGUAAAGACUUUUCUUAUAAAAAAAAAAAAAAAAAUUCCUUCAAAUUCUUAUAAUAUUCUAAACAUUUUUGUAAAAAUUUAUUCAAAAAUAUAAAUGGUACAAAUGAUCUAACUUAAAAUUAGUGACAAAAAAUGAGGACGGAAAACUUUUUGAAGACUAAGUCGAAGAAAUUUUCUAAAGAAAUUAUAACUAAAAAACGGGAGGGUUAGCGAGGUUAUUGGUGUUUGUGUGGUGUGAUGGAGAAGCUACUUGUGUGAUGGUUGGGGGUUUUGUGGGAGGUGUGGUUUUUGCGUGGGGGUAUGGAUGGGGUAGGCGUGGAUAAUCUAGUUUCGGAUUUUGUGGCAGCUUGUGACGAUAUUUGAGGGAUUUGGUGCAACUUUUGUUUAUGUUGUUGUGCGGAGGGUUGUCUUGGAUUUUGGUGUUAGCUUUAUUUUUUGUGUUUCCUUUUAUUGAUUUCGAAGAUAGUCCUUAAUGUUAGGUGGUGUUUCAUGAGGGGAUCUUUAGAUUUUGUCUUUGAUGCACGGAUGUAUGUGUUUACAUUUGGGUGUUCCCCAUCUCUCAUUUGUAUUUUGCUAUUGACUCCUACCCUAGCACUUCUUGUGCUGGUCAGGAUUCAUUGUGAUUUUAAUAAAUUUCAUUUUUCCUUCUUAAAAAAAAAUUAAAUACUUAUAAAAAUCAAAAACAUACUUAAUCCAUAAAUUUAUCUCAAAGACUUAAUCUCAUUGUUUGUGUUUAUAUAUGUUUGGGUCUGUUGACUUGGUUAAAUUAUGAAAACUUUGUGUGCAAGUUAAGUUACGAAAAUGUGCAAGUUUUUCUUCGUCAACAGGUCUAUUUUAAUGUUUUUAAGUAUGUUUUAUGUAAGAUAUUUGACAAAUUCAAUGCAUUUUUUUUUUUGACGAGGAAUUCAAUACAACUUUAUAUGAUAGUGAAUAUUUUUUUUGAAGGAUGAUAGUGAAUAUUAUUUUCAUCAAAAAAUGAUAGUGAAUAUUUUUCUUUUAUAUUCUGCUUCAUCGGUACCUUAUUAUAGGCCUAUUUGAUCAAUUUCGUAUACAUUAAAAAAAAAUUGAUAUUAUAGUUAAUAUGUUUAUUUUGUGAGUAAAUAGUACUACUACUAAAUCACCAUUUGUUUAAAUGUGUAUUUCAUUUGACUUUGCAAAUUUUAAGUUAUUAGUAUUAAUUAGAGUUAUUUUUGGAAAAAUAAAUUAAUAAAUUCACUUAAUAAUUUGUAUUUGAACUUAUAUUUAAGGACAUGAUUUUUCUUCUUCUUAAUAAAUUCAUUUUUCUUUAACGAACUGAAGAAGUAUCCUUUUUUAGAUAAGCGAAAAUUAAUAUCCAAGUCCUUAUAAAGAGAUGGAGAGAUUAGACUUUUUUGAAUGUGGGUGGAAACAGACGGCUCAUUCGACAGGGGUCUACGUCCUACCUUAUUUAAAGUUUAGCUCGACUUAGUUCAUUUAAUAAAAAUGUCAGAUUAAAGCUUUUUAUAAAGUGUUUAGUAAAAAGGGCACAAGCUUUUUUUUGAAAGAAAGGUGUUUAUAACAUUUCAUUAAUUAUUAAAGAUUCAAUACAAUUGAGUAUAACAUAAUAAGUAACGGAAUUAGCUAAUAAUGUGGUCUCUCUUGCAAGAUUAUGAGCUACCACAUUUGCUUGUAGCCUAACGAACUCCAAGCGAGAGGCUCUAGUUUUUUAUAAAGCCUAUUUAAUUAAAUAUGUCAGACUAAGGCUUACAAAAAAGCCUAUUCCUGUCAGGCCGACCUAUUAACCUUUUUAUAUAUACUUUAUCUUCCAUUAUUGAUAUUGUUGAAGUUUUUUUUCCUCCAUAAACUCAAGUCUUCAUAUGAUUUGGUUCUUUAAUAGUAGAUAUAUUGAUGUUAUUAGACAUUUGUAAAAUUCCGUUAUUUAGUAGCAGACCUAUUCGUGUGCUUUUGACCUUCAUAAGUUUUGACAUAUUUAGUAAUAGAUUUACAUGUGUUGCUAGACCUUGGUGUAAAAUAUGCUUUUAAAUAGGCUUUCAGACCUUUAAAAAGGUCAGAUCAAGCCUUAAAAAUGAGUCUAUGACGGAUAAUAGGCUAGACUCAUGCCUCUAAUUUUUAAAGUAGGUCAGGCUUAAACUUUACAAACCCGGCCCGACCUAGCCCAUUUCCAUCGCUACGUGUAACCUUCCGCUAAGUCCACUGUCCAUAUCUAACUCUAAUUCUUCUUAUAGUGCAAGUCCACCCGACCCGACCUAGCCAACCAUGAUGACGAACAAUGCACAUUUUUACAAUUUUUUGCACCAUAAUGAGUAACAAAUUCUGCCACCAAUAAUAAAAUGGAAAAUGCUUUAUGGCACGACAAGUUUUGUCGCACCAAUUGCAUGAAUUCCUCAAAUCUCAAUUUUCUCUCUUUUUAACGUAUAUUUCCAGCCAUAUCUCUCUUUCCUAUUCUCCAUUUAGUUUAACUUAUCACUUCAACGUUUUUGUUUUGUAUGAUAUGGCAUACAAGGUACACCCUCAUGGUGUGGCUUUGUUGAAUUACACUACAAUAUUUCCAAAGGAUGUUUUGUGGCAGAAUCACCGCUCCAAACUAUUGGUGGAGAAUAUUGUGGUAAAUCAUUACAAAGGCAAUGCAAUUCAUAUUGUGAAAUAAUUAAGUUUAUAUAUAUGUUUUUGCUAGAAGACACAUUUUAUGAAAGUGUCUUUUAGCAAGUUAUUCUAUGAUCAUUUGUUAAAAGACACCAACUAAUUUUUAUUAAGGUGUUUUUUAGCAAAAUUAUAACUAAAAAUUGAAAAUGACAUCUUGAGGUGUGGGUUGCUAAAAGACACCUUCAUGGGUGACUUCUAUCAAAACUCUAUAUAUAUAUAUAUAUAUUGGUCAAGUAGCCUAGUAGCUAGAGAAAUUCACCUUUAAAAUGAAUAAGUGGGAUGUCCGGGGUUCGAACCCCGGCCUCUGCACAAAUUGUGCAUUAUCCUUUACCAAAUGAGUUAAACUCGUGGGGACAAUUUAUAUAUUAUUUUACUUGAGGUAGAAAACAAUAUUUUAUCUUACUUGUGUCAAAAAAUUGCUAAAGAUCUUGAGGCAUGAUAUAUACAUUGGCGUGCAAAUGGUACGACAAAGAUGUCGUACCAUAUAGCACUACUCUAAUAAAAUUUACAUUAUAUUUUUAUCAAAGAAAAAUUACUCCAUAAGGAGUACAUUAUAAUAUUGUGAUCAUAUAUUCAUUUCUAAUAAUACUUUUAUGCAAAUUUCAAACCCAUAAAAAAUAUCAUAACGAAAAUUUAAAAUUAACUAAAAAUAAUAAUAAAACUAAAAUUAAUUAAAUAUUAUCAAUUCAACUCGGGUUGAACCCCGAUCUAACCUUCAACCUUUAUUUCAUUGAUUCAAUCAAUGUCGGACCUAAUUUUGAUUACCUUACAAAAACUUGGUUUUUUUUUUUGACAAAUAAAAAAAAAACUUGGUUUCUUUUUUGAGCAAUGCUAUAUAUCAAGAAAGAUUUUAUCAAGAAAAUUUUAAGAAUGACAUGACAGAAUAAUCACCCUUAAAUUUUAUCAAGAAAUAGUCUUGAAAUUAAUGUUAGCCAAUAAAAUCUCAGCUUGGCCGGAAAUCAUGGGGUGGUGGGUGUUAUGUAUUUUUUUUUAUGAAAGAUUAAUAAAUGAGACUGAAAUCUAAAGGUGAUUAUUGUGCCAUGUCAUUCUUGGAUAUUUCUUAUAAAAUCAUUCUUGAUAUCUAGCAUUUUCCUUCUUUUUUUUGGUAGUGAAAAACUUUUUUUUUUUUUUUUUAUAAGAAGAAGCUUAUUGCAUUUCAUUCAAAAUAAUAGUAGAGAUACAAGAUGGAAUCCUAAUACGAAUAUGGAAACUAGCAUGACGCAAAGCCACUCUAGCAAAGCUAUGAGCAACUUCGUUGGCUUGUCUCCGAAUGAACCUAACAUCAGAGGUUACUAAAUCAGAAGCUAACAGACAUCUACAAUCAUUAAUAACUGCGCUAAAAUUAGAGACGCCACUAUUACUACCAUAAAGACUGUCUACCACAAUUUUGGAGUCGAGCUCAAAGUCCACAAUACCUAGUUGCAGAUCACGAACCCAGUGCAUUGCUGAUAACAAACCCAAAGCCUCACCCAAAUCGACAUCAAGGAGCGGAGUCAUCCAUUCAGUCUUGGCUAAAACAAAACGACCUUCUUCAUCUCGAAUACAAACACCAAUACCAACCCGAUUCCGAGCUUGAGAAAAGGACGCAUCAACAUUACAAGUAAACCUACCGGGACUUGGUUUAAUCCACUUCAAAUCAUUCGGGGUGGAAGGAUUUUGAGGGCUAGGAUGCCGAAUAUUCUGAGCAUUCCUCCAGCUAGUAAGAAGAGAACCUGCACGAGCACAAAUAUCUUGAGCUGUAUCAGUGAUGUUGUUCCAUACCUUAUUGUUUCGAUGCUUCCAAAUACUCCAAAGGGUCACACUGAAGAUUUGCUUUUGCUGCUGAUCCAGGUGUUGUAGGAUAGCAAACACAUUGGUUGGAAAACUGACAUUAAUAUCAAAGACAGCCAUCAAAGGGCUCCAUAAGCCAAUACGUUGCCAACAAAGCAUACUUUUACUACACAUAAAGAACAAAUGGUUGCUAUCCUCUCCGAAAUCAUCACACACUGCACACCUGUCAGUACACUGAACUCCUUUAGAUUGCAAACGAAUUCUCGUGGGCAAGCAAUUGCGGCAAGCUCGCCAAAGAAAAUUCUUAACUUUCGGGGGCAGUUUUAAACUCCAGAUACAAUUCCAAUUACCCAGUACACGGUGUUGAACAAUUGCCAUAUCAUGAUUCAGAAUAUCUUUAUAAGCACUUUUAACUGAAUAAUUACCAUCCCUUUCAAAAUUCCAAACAGGCAUAUCAUGAGUUACUGAAGGAAGCAACGGAGUGUUAAAAAUGUUUAUGGCAGUACUAGAGUCAAAGAAAGUAUUAAUGAGCUCCAUAUUCCACUGUUUCUGGGGUGUAAUCAACAAGUCAGAAACAGUGAUGGAAGGCCACUCCAAUUGAUGAUGAGUUGAAGGUAAAAUUCGUGCAACAUUACUGAUCCAGGGAUGAUCUCAAACUGGUAUGUGUUCACCUGUACCUAUACUCCACUGAAAACCACGCCGAAUCACAUCUUUAGCACUCCAAAUACUACGCCAAACAUAACUAGGAUUAUGGCCAAUGCUUGCUCCAAAAUAGUCACUUCGAGGAAAAUAUUUAGCUUUGAGUAAACGAGUGAUUAGAGACUCUGGAGAAGAAACCAACUUCCAAGCCUGCUUACCAACCAUAGCCAUAUUAAAGGCCUUAAGGCCCUUAACUCCCAUACCUCCAUAUACCUUUGGAACUGAAAGCCGCUCCCAAGAUAGCCAGUGUAAUCCUCGAGAAUUUGCUGAAUUAUGACCCCACCAGAAGGAAUUUAACAUUUUUUCUAUCUCAUUUAUGAGGGAACCCGGAAGAAGGAAAAUACUCAUCACAUAGGAAGGAAUAGAUUGCAAAACAGACUUAAUGAGAACCUCCCUACCAGCCUGCGAGAGACAUCUACUACUCCAUGAGUUUAUUUUACUCCAGAUGCGAUCCUUAAUAAAUUUAAAAGUUGCAUGUUUGCUGCGGCCAAUCAUAGAAGGUAGACCAAGAUAUUUACCUAUACCCAACACUUGACGAACACCGAAAGUAGUAGCAAUGAGAUUCUUCAAAUCAUCUGGAGUAUUGCGGCUACAAAAUAAUUCAGACUUUUGGAGAUUAAUGGUUUGCCCCGAAGCUUCUUCAUAAGUAGUCAAAAUAUUUUUCAUACAGACAGCCUCACUCUCACAGGCUCUAAAGAAGAGAAAACAAUCGUCUGCUAAGAGAAGGUGAGAAACAACUGGUGCAUUUGUGCAAAUCGAAGUACCUCUAAUAUUAUUGCAACGUUCGGCUUCACGAAUAAGGGAAGAGAGACCUUCAGCAUAAAUGAUAAAUAAAUAAGGUGAGAGAGGAUCCCCUUGACGGAGUCCGCGUCCUUGCACAAUAGGACCCAUUGAUGCUCCAUUAACCAAUACUGAGUAAUCAACCGUCUCAACACAAAGCAUAAUCCAACUAACCCAUCGAGAUGAAAAACCCAUUUGAAUCAUGAUUUCUCGUAGGUAAUCCCAAUCUAAUCUGUCAUAUGCUUUACUAAUGUCCAACUUAAGUGCAACAUCUUCACUCUUACCUUUUGCCUUAGCCUUCAUAUAGUGAACAAUUUCAAUAGCCACCAUUGCAUUGUCUAAGAUAGAUCGACCUGGUACAAAAGCUGACUGAUUAAUAGAGAUACAUUUAUCUAGUACCUGUUUGAGCCUGUUAGCAAGCACUUUGGCUACUAUUUUGUAUACAACAUUGCAGAGAGCAAUAGGUCGCCAAUCCUUCAUUGAAUUUUGAUAAUCACCUUUAGGAAUAAGAGUAAUAUUAGUAGAAUUGACAUGUGGUGGGAAAGCACCACUAGCUAGCCAAUGACAACCUGCCUGAUAGACUUCAUGACCACAAGUAUCCCAAAAAUGUUGAUAGAAACCUGGAUUAAAACCAUCUGGACCUGGACAUUUAUCUGCUUGCAUGGAGAAAGCCGCCUGUUUGAAUUCUUCUAAGGUGAAAUUCGCAGUCAACAUAUCAUUAUCAUCUUCGGUGAUUGAAGUUGGAACCAAAUUAAUUACACUUGCACGCGAGCUUGGUGAUUUUUUAAAGAGAUGCAUGAAAUAAUCACUUGCAAUUUGCUUCAGACCAUCUUCAGUUCGACAUUCAAUACCAUUUUCAUCCUCAAGAUGCUCAAUUCUAUUCAACUUUCUUCUGGUGCUUGCUGCCGCAUUAAAAAACUUCGUAUUAAGAUCCCCAUCACGAUACCAAAAUGUCUUAGCAUGUUGUUUCCAAAACAUAUCAUCUUUGAUCAACAAUUUAUCUAAUCUCUGUCUUAACAUAUUGAAAUAAUUCACAUUAGAGGCAUCCACAUGUGAACGGAUAGUUUCAAGCUUACGUUGAGUCUUGCGAAUCUCUUGUCUGGUGUUUUGGUUAGUAUUCAUACUCCAUUUAGAUAGAUCCACAUCACAUUGAUUAAGUUUAUUCACAAGAGGACGAUCACCAUAACCUUGCCAUCUUUGAGAAACAAAAGGCCCGAACUCGGGUUCAACAAGCCACACAUUCUCAAAGCGAAAGCGACGUUGACCGGAACUAGGCGCAGGCUGCGGAGCACAAUCCAACAAAAGAGGGUAAUGAUCAGAUGAUGUGGUAGUAAGACAUUCAAGCUUAGCGUUCUGAAACUUAUCAAACCAACUAUUAUUAGCCAUAGCUCUAUCCAAUUUCUCCUCCACAGCGCGGACAGUUCCAAGACUUUUGAACCAUGUGAAAGCAUAACCAUCCAUAUGAAUAUCAGCAAGCCUAUCAUCCAAAACAGCUUGCCGGAAACCUUGAAUAAGCCAUGGUUGACGAUCAGACCUUCCUUUCUUUUCAUCAGUUGAUAGAAUAUCAUUAAAAUCACCAAUAAUACACCAAGGAAGUGGAGACAUAUUUGAUAAAUGUCGAAGUAAGUUCCAAGACUCUCUUCUCCUCCCUCCUUCUGGCAUACCAUAGAAUCCAGUUAACCUCCAUCUUCCCCUAAUAGAGUCAUUUACCUCCAUAUCAAUAUGAUUCUGGGAGAAAUUUGUGAUAGUACAAUUAAAGUUCUUAUUCCAUAAACAAGCCAAACCACCUCCCCUACCAAUACGGUCAACAGAAAAACAGUAAUCGAAAGCCAACAUAUAUUUCAAUUCUUCAAUUUUAUUAGACGUUGUCAUUGUUUCAUACAUGAUUAUUGCAUCCGGUUUAUAGGUCCUGACUAGGUACUUUAAAUUAGGAACUGUGCUCGGGCUACCUAAACCCCGACAGUUCCACCAUAUAAGACUCAUUUACCUUGGCGGGCAUGGUGUCCAGGUCCCGCCAUUACAUUAUUAAUCCCACCUAGUCCCCUAUCCCUCAUGUUAACAUCCUUGCUAGCCGUAUCUUGACCACCAUCAUAUUCAUUAGAGCCUUUCGUCGCAACACCUUCCUUAGUCUUCUCCACAGUGUCCUCGCGAUCUUCCAUGCGAAGCCUUUUGAGUUGCUUAGGUCCUUCGGAGGCAAUCUUAAUUGUACCAUUAUCACUAACUUUCGGUUUAGGCAUUGACGCUGUUAAUUGUGAUAUAGGAGGCUGGGCAACGACAUUAAAACCGAACGGAGCACUUUCAAUUGAGAGAGGAUUCUUGAGCCUAGCUUCUUGAACCAAUCGGGCGAUGCGUUCCUCAUCUGGUAGUGAAAAACUUAAAACUGGGUUUCUUUAACAUGCGAAAUAAGGACACAUGUUAACAAUAUUAUUAUUAUUUUUGAAUAAACUUGUUUAUAGAUUUAUAAAAGCACUUACUCAAUAAAAUUAAAUUCUAUUAACCAAAAAUAAAAUAAAAUUCAUAAUAAAGUUGCAUAUAUUCUCAUAUUUUCUUUUGUCAAAUCACAAUCGUCGUUUUAUCUUCAUACACCGUGUCGUUUAACACCUCUGGUAAUAGCAUUCCACCCGAAAGCAGCUUUUACACAGUAUCAAUAAAAAACGAUAGAGAAACAUAUAAACCCCGUUUCAACGACCAAACGCGCGUUUCAAAUAAUCUAACCCCAAACGCUCGCGCUUGAUAAUCCAUUUUCCCCCUUCUUUUAAUCGAAAAUAAAAGGUGAAGAAAUCAAACAAUCCUUUCACUUUCGAUUACCGAAUCAAAUUCAGAAUCGCUUAAACAAUGACGACGGAAGAUAACAGCGUUAGGGUUUCUUCUUCCAAUGAAGCAUCUGCGACAAACGAAGUUUCACAAACAAGACAGAGGUAACUCACGUCAUUGAAAAUUUGAAAUUUGUUUAAUUUUUGUCUUUUAUUCGUUAAUUAUGUGAAAUUAGUUGGAUUACUGUGUUGAUUGAUUUCACCGUGGAUUUGUCUUUUUUACUGAAUUGGAAUUAUUUGAAUAGCUUAGUGUGAAUGUUUUCACUUUUCAAAUAUUAAAAAGCUGGAUUAGUCUCUGAAAGUUUUGGUAUCACGGUGGGUUUACCGAAAUCACGAUUACGCGGUGAUUUUUUUACCUCCAAAGUGUAGCUUUUGCAAGAGGGUCAUGGUAACUAGUGCCCUGAGACACUUGUUAAGGGAAAAAAAGAGUAAAUUUUGCAUUGAAAAGACGGUUGACUACACUAGUUUUAAGAUAAUUUUAUUACUCCCUCCGAUCACUAUUAUAAGCAAAAAACUACUUUUUAGGUUCAUUGAAUGAGUGAUGUAAUUGACCAUUAAUAUAGUCCACAUACAUCAUUUAUUCAAUGAACCUAAAAAGUAGUUUUUUGCUUAUAAUAGUGACCGGGGAGUAUAUUAGUUCAUUUGCCAAAUUACGGUGGCUCAUGCAAAUUUGUCAAACUCACCUCGGAAGCAAACAUUUAUCUAUUGGUGAAACAGGUGUUUAGGGUUUGGGAAAAACUUUAAUAGAUGUUUUCGAAAAUGUAUAUUUUGUAGGAUUGACCACAUUUUUAAUAAAUCAUAGAUGUUUUCGAAAGUGUAUAUUUUGUCCGGAAGUAUGCAAUACUCUUCCGAACUGAAAGUGAUAUUGGGGUGUGGAAAGUUCCUCCCAUAGGGUUAAUGCUAAAACGACAACACACUUGGUGCAUUAUAUUUUAGGUUAUGUCUGUAUGGAUUGACUUAUUUGAGUUUAUCUGCUAACACAAGUUUUGUCUGACCGUUUUUCAGCCUAUUUUCAUAAGUUCUCCAGCGUAGCUUAUGAAAAUAGCUUAUAACUUGCAUAACAAUUUAAAUUUAUUUUAUCUUUUGCUAUAGAAAUAACUUAUACAUCAGUGCCUGAGCUUUUAAGUUGCAAAUAAGUUUUUAUCCAAAUAGUGCUUCGCAUAACUGUAAGGGAGUUCUCCAAGAUAUUCCCAAAAGUGUACUUUUGGACGGCAUUUUAUCUGGAAGUAUGUUUAAAAUCCUCGUUUUUUCUCGAUGUGUAAAUUUGAAGUGAUGUUGGGGCGUGGAAAGUUUCUCCCUUAGGUUAUGCGAAAACGGAAACCACUUAGGGUCUGUUUGGAUUAGUUUAUUUGAGGUUAUCUACUGCCAUAAGUACUUGCGACAUUUUUAUUUUAUUUGAAGAAGCUAAAUUAGCCCACCCAAAUUGGCACCGGCUGAGACCUUGAGGAGGAGCACACUCGAAGGUCCCAAGUCAACACCACCAUGCCAACCCAAAUAAGUACUUGCGACAUUGUUUGGGAUAACUUAUGAAACAACUUCAGACAUUUUCAUAAGUUGAUUUCAUGUUAUUUCCAUAAACUCUCCAGGAUAGCUUAUGAAAAUAGCUUAUAUAUUAUACAAAAAACUCAAUAAAUUCUUAUGCUAUAAGCUGCAAAGUCAACUGCAAAUUAAAUUGUUAAUCCAAACAGGGCCUCAGUGCAUUAGAUUUUAGGGGGUCACAUUGAUAGAAUGAAAAUACUAAAGAAAAUUUAUUCGAUUGUAUUUGAUACUAUGUUUUGUGAAUUUUUUAUUGAGUGUUCUGAUUUUUUUGUAGAAAGAAGAGAAAGUGGGAUCAACCAGCAGAGUCAUUGGUAUCAGUUGGGAUGGCAGUACCCGGAGUUCUUCCUUUGAGCAAUGCUAUGCCUCUUGGUGGGGUUGCAUUUCCAGGUGUGACACCAGUGAUAUCCAGCGCUCUUUUGACUAAUCCAUUGGCUGCUGCAGCCCUGCUUCAGCAGCAAAGCACGGCGGCGGCCCAAAAAUUGAAUCAAGUGAGCUGUCUAAUCCCUUGCAAUGUUUGACGUGUUUGCCGAUGCUCUUUCUUGAUUAUAUUGCCGUAUCAUUCUUUUAUUGUUUUAGUUUGUGGGAAAACAAGUGUGGUAUUGUUCGAUGAAAGUGUGGUAUUUUUUUGAUGAAAUUUCAUCUAAGGAUUUUGAACUUGGUGCUUGAAUGAUAUGAGAAUUAUAAGGGGGUUGUGAACUUGGUGCUUGAACUGUGUCCUCUAUUGAAGCGCUAGUAAUACUCUUGGAAGUUUAUUUACACCGCAAUGAAUUCAUGAUAUUUUUUUAAAUGAAAAAUGCAAUGGAAUCGUGACAUUGAAAAUUGAAAUUAUAUAUAAUUACUAAAUUUAGUUUUGCAGUUCGACACUUUAAUGAUUAUCAUUCAGCUUCUUAUGCUCUGUAAUUUUGCCUUUUAAAGCACACUCUUUUAAGAUUUGUGAUAUUGAAUACUAGCUUCGUCCAUGUAUGCUUCUCAGACCCAUCACUUGCAAAGUCUGCAGAAUAUGCUUUCGGGUGGCCUAAAAUCAUUGACUUCAUAUUUUGUGCAUUUGCAAUUAAUAAACUGUCUUUAAUUUUUUAUUUCAUUUAUACAAGAGUAUUUUGGCAAAAUUGUGUUCUCUGUUAUUCCAAAUAUUCCUUUCCUUCUAAUUUUCAUAGAAUAAUUGUGUCAGGGUAGAUUGAUGCUAGCAACAUAUUUACUUAAUAAGUGUUUAUGUGUGUGGAGAUUUUGCUGAAGCCUUUGAUUCUCCCUGAAGUUUUUGCGUUAUUUUAUUAUAGAUUUCUUUUGUAAAUUUUAAAUAUUUUUUUAUCUUAUUGUGGGAUAAAUUUUCAUGUAGCAAAAGAUCCAAGAUGAGUUGGUAAUUGCUCGAGAAAUCGUCAUAAAUGAUGCAGAAUCUUCUCUUCGCUACAAGUUGACAAGACGCCAGACACAAGAGGAGGUGACCUGGAUAAGAUAAUUUUACUCCCUUUUAACCCCAAAGCUUCUCUUUAAUUUUUAUCUAAACGAUCAGUUUUCCUCUUCUUGCAGAUCCAGAGGUGCACUGGUACUAUAGUUAUAACUAGGUUUGUAGUUCGUUCAAAGCAUUUCUAAAGUCCUUUUAAGUUUUUACUAUACUGCUGGAAGUAAUGUCUAUGCUGGUUGCUUUUGCAGGGGUAAGUAUCGACCUCCCAAUUCGCCGCUCGAUGGAGAAAAGCCGUUGUAUCUCCACAUCUCUGCAGGAGCUCAUGUAAAUGCUGAUACUUGGUUUUUAUUUUUUUUAUUUUUUUAUAUAUAUAGAACAAUGAUUGGGUUAAAUAAUCAGAUUUAAUCGGACAUUUUUGUCCAAUCCUUUAUUUCAUAUGAAAGUAACAUUUAUUACUUAAAAUGAUGUGGUCAGAACUCAUAUAUAGAUUGGAAAGGAAAUGUCACUUGAAAGAGAUUAUUUAAUUGAAUUUAUUUGCAACAAAUUGGCUUCUUAUUCAUGAAAGGAGAUUCAUAUUGCUUUUUUGUAUGUCAUGACACAAUAAUUGAUGGCUCAUGGCUGUGUUACAUGAGAAUGAAUUACGUAAUUUAGUUUGCUUCUAGUGACAUCACAUUAUGUUGCAGAUAAAAGAUACGGCGGAACGGAUUUUAGUUGUUGAUCGUGCUGCUGCAAUGAUUGAAGAAAUGCUAAGGCAGGGGCAAAAUUCGCAGUCAAUUUCUUCUGCUUUACCUUCAGCUUUGGCUAAUGGAGUGAAGGUAGAAAUUCAUUCAUUACUAGCUCAUAUACAAUGUGAUGUGAUGUAUUGAUAACUAAAAUGUAUUAAUGAAUCAGGUAUUGAGCACAUGUGUGUUUUUGGGAUUUGAUGCUGACCCAUCAUGGAACAUUGUUGCUCGUAUACGUGGACCAAAUGUGAGUCCUUCCCUAACUAAUUGAUUUGUCUAGUACUCUUGUGCUUUAUGUUUGUGCAUGAAUAUAAGUGGAGAGUCUGCCACAACUAUUUUCAGAGAGGACUGUUUGAAGUUUCUCCUCUGUAAUCUGUUCAUAUAUUGACUUUUUGAGUCUCAUGUAAUGGACAUGUUAUGAUUCACAAUUAUAUCAUAUAUUGAUUUGCUGUUUUGUUUUUAUUUCUUACAUUUUUACUAUUCUAUCUUUUUGCUCACUGGGAGUAGGUGUGUAUUUGUUUUAAACUUCUAUUUGAUUGCGUGGAAAUACUUUGCUAUAGCUUAGGUUAUUGAUUACCAAGGUGUUGAUUAGGCAAGAAAAAAGGGAGGAUGUCUGGGGAAAUUGAAGACUGUUGUAGUUGGCAAAGUGUUCUUUUUAUGGGUUGGGAUCCUCUCAAUUUUCUAAAUAAAAUGGAAAUGUCAAUUACUAUAUUUUUUUACUAAAUAAAUAAUAUAAAUGUAAACAUUUCUAAAAUUGGAGACAUUAAUUGAACAUUUAUACACGGAAACUGAGAAUGGAACAAAUGGAAUAAAAAAUGGAGAGCAUCUUAAUUCUUGACUGGGAUCCUCUCCAUUUCCUAAAAGAAAUUGAAAUGUCAAUAACUAACUCAGUAACUUUCUUAGGUGUGGGCUUCUUCAAAAGAAAAAAACUCUCUUAGGUGUGGGGUUAGGCCUGUAUAUAUAUACAAACUAACAAACAAGAACAGAGGUAACUCGCCAAGUAACUACAAAUUAGAGAUUAAAUUUACACAGAUAAUUACGGGUAGAGACUGAACAUUCGGUUGUUUGCUCAUCAAUACGUAAAACUAGAUUUGCCUAAGAAAAUAUCGGGAGUUAUACUAAUUAAUUGCCUCAUCUAACAGCAUAAGUCUGACCUGACUUAUUUAUUUAUUUAUUGGAUUGGAUACCUUGCAUCAUUAUUGGUGGAUAAUUAUUUAUUUUAAUAUAUUUUAUGAUGCUUAAAAUUGUGUAUUUGUAAAUAAUCUAAUGUUUCAAGCCUCCUCUGACGUCUCCGUACAAUUUGGAGAAUUUUUUUGGGGUUGGUGGUCGUUUGGAUUUGAACGUGCAGGACCAGUAUAUAAAUCACAUUAUGAAUGAAACAGGAGCAACAGUAAUACUUAGAGGACGUGGUUCCGGAAACGAUGAAGGCUCAAAUGGAGAAGGUACUUUCUUCAUUUGUGGGAUUCAAACUUUUGAAGGGAAUUAUAUUUCAGUAUAGAUUACUUUCGUGAUAUUCGCUUUUCAGUUUGAUUUGUUUUCGGUUUUAGAUGGACAGCAACCUAUGCACCUGUUUUUGUCUAGUAACAAUGCAAAAAGCCUUGAAGAUGCUAAGUUCUUGGCGGAAAAUCUUUUGGAUACAAUCAGUAUGGAAUGUGGUGCUUCGAGGUAUUCAAUUUUAUAUUGUCAUAUGAUAUAGGAUGUGAGCCAGGUUUUUUUCUUAAGAGUAGAAAAUUUAGGGAAUACUCUGUUUUUCUCAAAUAUUAGCUCUUACCAUAUAGAAACAAAUCUUUAUUUAGAAAAUACAAAUUUUUAUUAUUUGAUAUUUCAUGGAACACGGCAACCUACCUUUUGAUUAUUUCCUAUGCUGAUGUCAACAUGACAACAAUCCUUUUUCACUAUGGAAUAAUUAAUAUCACACGUAUUUUGAAGUGAAUUUGGAACAUUCUUCGGUACAUUUCUGGAAACUGGGGCUAAACAUUAAUUUUCCCGAUACACAUCCUAGAAAAACAUGUAUCCUCUCAGUGUGAUAGACAGUAGGUUUGACUAGAAAGAUGUGAUAUUUUUGGUAGCUAGGUGACCGGUGAUCAGACUGAGAAAUUCUCACCUCCGAAACAUUCGCUGCUUUAAACUCCCUCUUUUCUCUUUAAAAAAAAAUUGGGGAAGGGGAAAUUAUUUGUUGGAAAUUCCGCCUUCAUUGCGGUCCACCCCUAGCCGCCUAAUUGCAACAUUUGGGUUGCCUUCAUUGCAGCCUUCAACACCUUCAUCGUGUUGGGUUUGAGGGGGUGGAUUUUUUCCCACGGUGCUUGGAGAUAUGGUGUGUGUAGUACUGUAAUGUUUAUAAAGCUUGGACAACCCUCACCUUACAAGCCGGUUUUGUAAGGAUUAGUUGAGCCCAACUCAAAUUUUAAGAUUAUUAUUAAUAACGAUGACACUAAUGACCAUUUUACGGUAGUCCGUGAUGGGAUUUGAACCAUGCCCUUUGAGGUUAACAAGUCAAACUCUUAACACUAAAAUGACACCUAUUGCACAAAAGUAGAAAAUGAAUAUUCUGGGCUUUGUCUAAGUCCUUACUUUGAAGGGCCUCAUAAUUAUUGCUAGCCUUCAAAGUAAGGGCUUCAUAAAAAUUAUUUCGAUGAAGGGCCUCCCUUGCACUCACUUCACAACAUCUCAUUAGAUAAUGUAAGCCUUUCAAAUUGUGAGGCUGAUACCCAACAGCUUCUCCCCUGCACUCAAAUCACAUGAAGGGCCUCAUAAAAAUUAUUUGCAUGAAUGUAUGUUGCCUUUGUUGUUGCUUCUAUCUCAGGGACACACUUAUACUAUCCUGCUAUUAAUACUUGUUAUUUUAGUUUAAAAUUUAGGCACAUUUCUGUUGCAGAUAGGUUCUUUCACAUGGUCAUUGUACGGUAAUUGGGAAAUUUGAAACUCCUGGACUUUGUUGGUUGAUUUAAGUAUUAAAUUUGGUACUUGUGUGGUUUGCAUUCAAUUUUAAUUUUAUGGAACUAAGGUUGGGUUUGAUAUGGUAGUGUGUGGGUAGGAUGGGAUUCCCACAAAUGGAAGUAGAGGUCUGGUAAAUCUGAUUGGCAAUCAUCUUUUUCCAUUGCAAUUCUUGAAACUAUGUUAUUUGGUUAUUUUUAUUGUUGGGAACAUGUUAAAUUUCUUCUAAGUUAUAGGAAUAACUUUUGAUUUAACUGUCAUAGGAUUUCAUCAUGUAAAGUUUAUAGUGCUGUUCCACCUCCACAGCCGGUAUAUACUGCUGUUCCACCUCCACAGCAGGUAUAUACUGCUGUUCCAUCACCCCAGCAGGUUUAUAGUGGCCCUUCAUUGUCAAAGCAGAUUUCUACUGCCAUUUCACCCGUACAACAAGGUUACAGUGCUGUUCCACCCCCACAGCAGUUGUUGGCUGGAGUUCAGUGUUCGGAGGCAAGCACAGACGUAACCACUACUUCAAUGUCAUUGACUGCAGUUUCGACACCAGUUCCUACAGCAAACAUGAUUGGUUAUGCUCCUCCUUUAGUAUCAGGUGGAACUAGCUAUAUUGGAUAUGGUGGAAUAUAUCCUCAAGCUACCCCAUUGCAACAAGUUGCUCUUGCCUUGAGGCACUCACCUCCUGUUGCUUCAACAGUUGCUCCCGCAACAUCGGCACCAAACAGAGAGUCCAAGUCUACCACAAACUCUAAUCAUGAAAAAGAGGAUAAACGGACAGCUCAGAGGCGAAAAUUUCAAGAACAGCCAGUUGUUUCAAAGGGCGCAAAACACAAUCAGGUCAUUGCAUUGCCAUUGAUAAAAUCUUUUAAUAUAUCAUUUUGCAUGAUGCAGGGGGGAUAUCAUUGAAUCUCUUGAUAACUAGUUAGGUUGCAGCAAAUAAAAGCCUUGGUUUAUGGGAAGUCUGGUUUAAUCUCUUUGCAUUCAGAUAUACUGUUAAUUGGAUGUGCAAAUUUGAAUAUAUUAAAAAGCAUCAAAGCAAUAAUUAUCUGACGUUAGGGCUGUAAACGAGGAGCACUGGGGAAUUGGGAAAUGAACCGGGGAAAUUAAACCACCAACUAAUUACUUAAAACACCCUCUCAUAUUGGAUCCUAACAAAUUCUGACGAGAACAAAUGAAAGAAUCAUUAUUUGAAAAGAAAAGAUUGACAAACCAAGGCUGAUAACUCCCUUCUGAAGGGACAACUCCCUCACAACCAACUUGGUUAGUAUACAACAUGAACACAUUCAUUACAAACUUUCCUUCCCUUUCAUAUUUUUACAGACUUCAGAGUUUUCAAUAGCAAUGUAGGUAAAGAAUUUUUACGAUCCACAUUGCUAUUGAAUAGAUUAGAUUAUUCAUUAUUACUUUAUUUGAACGUAGUUAUCUUUAUUUUUUAUUUUUGCUUUUAAAAUGAAAGGUAACGAAGUAAAUAGUAGCAAAAUAUCAAAUGCUUCCGAAAGGGAAGUCAAAUGCCUAAGUAUAUGUAGCAGAUCUGCUAUAAGCUAAUCCCUCAAAUGACUGAUUUGACAAAAACUUCCUUUUUUCCAUAAUAGAAGCAAUUAUUUUUACCCUUUUAUUAUUCCUAUUUGUCCCGGUUCUCCUUAUCUUCUGAUCACAGCCUUGGGUGUGGUUCUCCAUACUUACCUGAUGUAUUUUCACUUUCCACUGUAUGUUUGGGUGAAAUUGCCAUUUGACAAAUAAAUUAAAGGCUAAAAUAUGGUUUUGGUCCCUGCAAAUAUGCCUCGUUUUGGUUUUAGUCCCUGUAAAAAAAAUUUGUUGUUUUUGGUCCCUGCAAAAUCAAAAGAUUUUACAGGGACUAUUUUUCUAAUAAAUGAGUUCAGUCAUCAUGUGCCACGUGUGCAAAUCAUUACAAAAGUGGAGUCAGGGACCAAAACCAAAAUGAGGCAUAUUUGCAGGGACCAAAAACAACAAAUUUUUUUUACAGGACUAAAACCAAAACGAGGCAUAUUUGCAGGGACCAAAACCAUAUUUUAGCCUAAAUUAAACUAAACCAGUUGUAGAUGGAUAUCAUGAGCAGAUAACCUCUUUUUUUUUUUCUUCCUGUUUUUAUUGCAUCUAGAACUAUCUUUGGAGUGUGGAUACAUUGACAUAUUAAACAGAACUUCAAAUUUUUUUCUAUUCUCAUUUAUAAUUUUUCUUUUAUAAAAACAAUAGUAUUACAAAACUUAUCUUGCAAAAGCUCUUAAUAUCUAACUCCGUUCUGGUCUAAACAUAUUAUCUUGUGCUGACUUUUGAUACUUAAUAUUCCAGGUAUUUUCUCUGACCUUCUAUGCUGACACUGGACCUGUCUGUUGGGCUGUUGGUUUAUGUUUGACAGGGUUUUCUGUUUUGGAAAGUUUGCUUGUGCACAGUAUACGCCCUUGCCAGUCCAAAUGUUUUAUGAUUUAUCUCUCCAUUGGUAAAGUUGUGGCAAGCUUGUGCUUUGCCCUCCAUUUUUGCAUACAUGGGCUCCAAAAGAAAAUAAAUACUAUAAUAAGAAAAUGAAUAAAAUUUAUACGUGAUUAAGAGUCACUAUUGAACAUCCAAUAUUUUUAAAACCAAGAUGAUGUCAGCCAUUUCCUAAGCAAAGCCAUCUUACUUAAAAUUUUGCAUCUCACUUUAACUAGUUGCCUCCACAAAAUCUUGUUAGACUAAUCCUACAUCCCGCGAUAUGAUUAGUUAAAAAUAGUUGUGUUCAUAAACUCAUCAUUCAUUAAAAAUAUCAAUUUUUUGAGUGCGACCCUUAAAGUUAACCCACCACUUGACAAAAAUCUCAGUUCUUUUUGCAAAACAUGUAUAUCUUGGUAUUUGGCAUCAAUGACUCAUUUGGCAUUGGCAUUGGCAUGAAAGCCCCCAAAAUAUUGGGAACAUUUGAGCUGCUAAUAUACAGUUAUGUUGCCAAUUAUACUAUUCGUUGACAUUUUUUUUUUUUAAGGAAUUCGUUGAUAUAUGUUAUCACAACAAAUUCCUAUUCGUGUUACGUUUCAAUUAUAUUAAUUAAUCAGCCACUUAAAACAGUUUUUGCGCGAAAAAUUUUCCAUUGACUGUUAUUAUCUGUGACAUUAAAUCAGGUUAUAGAAUGAUAGUUGACGAUAUUUGCCAGUUUAUCCUACCUUAUAUUGUUGUGCAUUGUUUUCUUUAUUUGUUUUAUUUUUUAUAGUUCAGUCUCAAUUUACUUGUAGUUUUGUGUAUUGGAGCAAUUAGUAAAAUAUCUGAUUCAGAAGUUGUUUGUAUUUUUGUAUUGUUCCACUCUAACUCAAUUGCAGGGAUCGGAACUUCUAAAACCUAAUGAACGAUAUGAGAACUUGGUUGUGAGGAAUAUAUCAACUAUGCCUGCUCCUAAGAAGUUGGUCCAGCCAUCGUCUAAUGGAAUUCCAGCACCCCCACCAAGAACUACGCCUCCACCACCUCCAAAAAGAGCUAUGCCCCCACCACCUCCUCCACCUAAAUUUUAUGAUUCAAUUGAAGUUAAAGUACAAGACAAGAGCAAUAGUUUACGGAAGACAAAAUCUGAUGCUAUUCCUGGUUCGCAUUUAUCAACUUUAAUAUUGUUUUGAUGUUUCAUUAUGUGUUCUCUAUAUAAUGUGUAUGUAUGAAACUUUUACUGUCUGCUAAGUGUGAUGAUUCUUUAAUUGACUUUGUAAUGUUUUCUUUAUUGUCCAUCUUUUAGAUUUGUGUGUAAUUUUAGGUAUUUAUUUCAGAUACUUUGGUCAAGCUAAUGGAAUAUGGUGACGACGACGACGACGAUGAUCUAGACGAUUCAAAUGCGGAAAUGCCUCCUCGCACAGCCCAAGCAAUUGGGGCUCAAAAGCCUUUCUGGGCCUUGUGAUCUGUAGUGUGGAUGUCAGACAUAAGUGAUGUAAAUAAGCAAUUGUUUUGGUUGAGAUUUAGCCAUUUCAUCAGUGUUCUUGGUGAUUGCUGGUUAGUUACUUUUCAGUGCAAUGGCGGGUGGAGAUCCCUGAGCAUGAUUUUUGGAGAAAAGAGAGUUGGUUGUCAGGUAGCAUUUGAAAUCUACAGGCUAUAUUGCACAUUCUCAUCUGCUUUCCAGAUGUCUGUUGUAAUUUUUUGUCCUAAUUUCAGUAUGCAUUGCAUAUACACCAGUAGUCGAUUUUUUUAGUAGUUUAGUUUGCCAUCAAUAUGAUGAUAGUUGGCGAACUCUUUACAACUAGUCCUAACUGAUAACUGAAACUGUAGCUCCCAGUCCCAGUUUGUGAAAUAUGUUUGUAUUUCCAUCCUCCUAUUACGUUUUACCUAUCAUGUAUUUCUUACAAAUCUCAAUUUUUAGCUAGUAGAAUUUGUAGCAAAUUUUCUGGAUGGAUUAAUAUAGAUGGUUGCGAUUUCCAAAUGCUAUUCCAAUUCUGAUUAGCAACGACAAUAUUCGAUCCAGAUCUCCAUCUGCAUAUUCGAUCCAGAUCUCCAUCCCACAACACUCAUCCAUCAGGUUAAUCUAACAGUUAAGAGGUUAAACCAAUAAGACAAAUUAGAAUAAGUAGAAGAAUAGCCAUCGGAUGGCCGCCCAUGGCGACAUGUUCGACAGGCUGGUUAAUCUAAAAUUAUAUGAUUUUUUAUUCACCUUGAAAUCAUAUUGCUCAAAUGUAAAUUUGUUGAACUGAUUUGUUCGAUAUAUGUUAAAGUAAUUACACAUUUGUGAAAAGAAAAAAUUGUUGGAAUUCAUUUUUGCGAAGAGGAAGUGUUGAUUUAUAUAUAUAGAAGACUGCUUUUAAAAUAUGUCAUUUUGUAGCACUUUAUAAAAUUGUGACCAUGAUCAUUUGUUUUCUUCCCAAAUCCCAUGGAAUAAAAACAUGGAUCAUGUUAGAAUAACAAUCUUGAUAACGAAGUUCGGCCAAUUUUGCAUGUCUCCCUCCAACUGCAAAACAAUUGUAUAGUUCCACUAUAUUAUCAAUGAAAUAUUAGGGAUUAUUGUAUACAAUUCGUAUUUAAAUACGACACUCUUAUUUUUAAGCCAUAGUCAGCAACAUACCCUCUUCUAUCUCUCAAACAAAUAAGGGAGAAGGGUGUUAAAGAGUGUAGAGAAGAUAAUGGUGAAACGGAAAAGAGUAUGGUUGUAGUUACUAUUCCAUAAAUCCGCUACCAUUGAGUUAAUUCUCUUUAUUUUAAAAGUUUUGUCAAAGAAUACUCUAUUCCAUAAAUCCGCUACCAUUGAGUUAAAAUAUUAGUAUAUUACUCCAUUGUGUUAAAUAUUAAUAUAUUAUUAUUCCAUUUUGUUUCAAAAUAUAAGUCACUUUUUUUAAGUAGAAGAAAUGACAAAACUAUUAUAAAUUCACACACACAAGUGGAGAUGUAAGGCUUCGAAACUCAAUUAUGGUGUUUGACUUAACAGUUUUGACAUUUUAUCAGUUGAGCUAGCACUUGUGAACAUAUAAGUCACUUAUUUAUUCACCAAAAAUACUCAUGAAUAUUCCCAGUAAAAUAUAUACUCUUUUGGACAAUUUUAUGUGUGGAAGGAUAAACUGAAUAUUAAAUUCUUUAGAGAACAAAAAAAAAAAGUUAGGCCAAUUUUCUAAUAAGAAAUAGAUUCAAGAAAGAAAACACGUUAAGUUUGCAACACAACAUCAAAAUGGAAAUAUUAAACCAAAAAUUAAGAAACUAAUCACUUUAUUAUUAGCAUAACAAAAGUCCAAAUGAACUUGGAAACAAGAAGAGAUAAUAAACUAUCCCCAAUCAUUACCCAAACAACAAAACUUAAAAUGCAGAUCAUAAACCACUACAAAGUUUGUAGAUGCAAACUCUUAUUACAAGUUUUUCCCCACAAAUAAAUGUUUUACUCUCACCGUAACUUAUUUCUAUCCGGUGUUGGGCUCGCCAAGAUAUCCGCCACUAUUUAUAGUCGCAGUGGUGGAGAUGUUGGGAACCGACAUAGACCGGAUAUGCAUAACAAGCCUACGCAACAUUUUUUAUCAAAACCAUUGCAUUUUUCGCUAAAUGUCUUACAUUUUUUUGGCUUGUCGCAGUUUAAUAUAUUCCCAUUUCUACAGAGGCAGGUUCCUACAAAUCCCCCAUUACAAACUAACGAUUUAUCACAACAUGUUUUAUCAAAACCAUUGCAAGGUUGACCAUAGUUACCAUCUGGACAAAUGGCCUGAGAUAUGGUAGCCAAAACCACCAAGGUAAGCAUGAGAACCCAAAUAACUUUAUUGCUGCUCAUCUCCUUAUCUUCUUUCUCUUUAUUACUUAUAAUAUAUGACUUGUGUAUGAGUAUUUGUGUGUGUAUCAAAAUGAAACUAAAUUCUCAUUUUAUAGGCAUUAUGUUGUAGUAAAUUAUAUAUUUAAUUUGUCAUGUGUGAAGAAGGAUUAGAAUAAGAUAUACUGAAAGGGGGUAGGAAGCUGCUGGGUAUAAAAUCUUCAAGAUUGUACUACGGAGCACAUGGUUAUAAAACUAUGUAAAGUAUUGAUCUCUUUUAAAUUUUUUAAUCAAAAGAAAUGGUGACUAUCACAUCUUCUUUAUUCUUAUGCUUAAAAAUUUUAUAUAAAUUCAGUAAUUUUCAUAUUUUUUCUACUUAUUUGAUCGAUACAAAGUAUUACUCAUCUUUAAGUUGAUUUCUACAAAUAAAUGCUCGUAUGAGACGGAUUUACUAUAAAUUAUGUGAAUUUACGAUAAAUCCGUCUCAUGCAAGCGGUUUGCUAGGAUAUAUUGAUCAUUCUUAUUGUUCACGUCGCUGGUAAGAGUCUAAAUCAUCUAUAUCACUGAGUAGAGUAAUGGUAUUGUUAAGUUAUUAAGUCGUUAAGAUUAGGAGUAUGAAGGUUUAGCAAUUAGCAUAAUGCAAAUUACCAAAAGCAUGGAUCUGUUGUUAGAAUGAUAUACUAUUUUUUUUUUACAGGGGAUGAUAUUCAUUAUAUGAGGAACACCUCAUACAAUUCCCUCCUCCUCCUCAUCAUCGCCUUCAACUUUUCUACCUCCUUAGUCGUCGAGGGUUGUGACCCCGACGACGAGAGGUCACUCUUCAAAAUCAAGAGUGCCUUCAACAAUGUCAGCUACUUCUCUACAUGGAUGGAUCAAUUUGCAAUGCAAGAUAAUUCUGAAAACCAUGUCCUCUCGUGUCAACAUCCUCACGAUUUUCAGCUCGAACAAAAUCGUGGGCGAAAUCCCAGCAUCCAUUCCAGAGCUCACGUACCCAUAGACCUUAAUCCUCAACAUUAACCCUAACCUCUCCGGACCUAUCCCUAAUUUCUUAAUGAGGUUAAGACACAUGCAUACCCUCAAACUCGACAACAACCGAUUAACUAGUUCCAUUCCCACUUUCUUUGUUAGGCUCCCAAAUCUUCAGCGAAUAAACCUUCAACAAAACAAGCUGAAUGGAAGAAUCCCACCUACAUUCGGCUCCCUAGUGCCCAACUUCUUUGUAUUCUUUCGGGAAACCUAUCUUGGGUCAUAUCCCGAGGUUCUUAUGGCAAGUUAAUUUUGAUAUUCUUGACCUCAGCGGGAAUGAAUUGAAGAGUGACGCUUCUUUUCUAUUUGGGGAGAAUAAAACAAACACUCAGAUCCUCAACUUGUCGUGCAAUCACUUGUUGUUUGAUCUGACUAACGUGGUAAUGCCGGUAGGAGAAGAUAUCCCGAUCUUGUCAUCCUUGGACUUGAGCUACAAUCAUUUAUACAAAUGGUUGCCAGCUUGGUUAGGCCAAGCCCCAUUGUUGCACCAGUUUAAUAUGUAGUGUUGUUAUGAGAGCAUCUGAGGGUGAAGUUAGGGGGUUGCUCCAAGGCCUCAAUUGGAUUGUCUCUUUAGAAUACAAUCAUGUGAUCUUUGAAUUAGAUUGCAAAAUGGUUAUUGAUGAUGUGCACUCAGAGAAGUUGAAUCACUUGAAGUAUGGUUCAGUUUUGCAAGAUUGUAAAAUCUUACUUGAAAAUUAUAACAACUAUCAAGUUGUGUUUACUACGUCAAGCAAACGGUAGCUCAUACUCUUGCAAUGAGAGCUUUACCUCAUGUUUCUCGCAAUAUUUUUGAUUUAAUUCUCGGUUAUUUUGCUACCAUUUUUUGAAUAAAUUGCCUUAUAUUUGCUUGCAUAAAAAAAAUAAUGUGACCCUGAUUUUUCCGAUGUAAUUAAGAACCCUUUGAAUAUAAACAUGUGUUGAGGAAGUAAGCCACAGCUAAGGAAGUUGUUGCCAAAAUUCGAUCUUUCCUCCCUCUCAAGCACACAAGGAAAAAGUGUGUUAAGGUGCAGAGAAAGAGAUUGGAGAAAAGUAAGAAGACAAAUAGAGAGGAUGGAGAAGAUAUAGAUUAUUUAAAAAUGGUCUAAAUUUGUAUUCAUCAUACCCCCUUCGUCCAAAAAUAAUAAACAAAAAUAGGUCAAUAAAAUUUGAUAUAAAUUUUGAACCAAAAACAUCAACUUUUGCUUGUCAAUACUUAUAUUUUAGUACGGAUGGAGUAUACUGUUACCAAACACUAACUAACGAAGAAAAAAUCUUAAAUUUCCCUUUACACCAGUUAAUGAUAUCAUGGUGCCUAAGAAAGAAAAAGUACAAAAUUGCACCAGUAAAUUACACUCACUCCUCUUGAACUUCGGUUAUGCGACGUCUAACCCCGUUCUUAUGAGAGUUAACAUCCUCCAACUUGGCAAUACCGGAACGGAAAUAAUUACUACUCCAAUCUUGAAUAUAAAAAAAAUAAAAAAAUAAAUCAAACAAGAUUGAUUUUUGAUGUAACUAGUUUAAAAUAUGAACUAGAUACAUCUGGUUUGGUUAGCUAUUUUCUUUUUGCUUAUAUUGUUAACCGGAUGGAGUAGUAGUAACAAACACAAUUCUUUGACCUCCACUUUUUUUUUUCAUAAACAAGGCCUAAAUCAAGCUUAAACUUCAUUUAUCAACCAUUAAACUAGUACCGAAAUCUCCAGUAGUCAAAAGAAACCAGCCAUCUCUCAAACCAUUUACACAAAAUAUCAAACACUAGUAUUCCCAUUCGAACAAGGAAAAAACUUUCCACACUCCAACAUGAGUUAAUACACAAAAAAAAUAAAAAAAAACAAAUUAAGUGCCAUCUGAAAAUACACAGAAAAUUUAUGUUGUUCUAAAAUACACUUCUAAAAGAAUAAUUUUGAUUAACUAUUGGUGUAAAUUUUCCUAAAUUAUCAACCAAUCACAAAAUUUUAUAUGUAUGCCUUUUAAGUUAGAUAUGAUAAAGUCAAACAUUUUCAAUGAUCAAACGGUUAUAAUUUACUGACAGUUUAGAUAUGGUGAAAAUCAAACCUUUUCAAUGAUCAAACUACUGACAGUGCAAAAUAUCUUUACAGUGUAAAGAAUCUUUACAUCGUCAAAACAUAUGAAUCCCUUCAAAACAUGUGAGAUAUUUACAAGCUAAGUAGCUGCUUUAAAACGGUCAACUCUUAUGCCAACUUGACCUUAACCAUUAUGGUAAAACCAAAGCAUCCCUUAUUUUUAACCUCUACCCUGUCAAAUGCAGAUACUAAUCAACACCAAAUAAAAUAAUUGUCACAUCAGAGUGAUCUUCUAUUCCUCUAGGAGUGAGGGAUAACACUAUCUCAAAUAGAUUGUUGCUCAAUUCUCAAAACAUUAAUGUCACAUUACUGACUAUAAAUAAUAAAGUCGGUUUUUGUAUCAAAUGGUUGAAAAAGUAAAUCAUUAUAAAUGUAAUAGCAAACAAUCCUAGAAAGCUCUUAUUUUUACAUCAGUCAUUGAGCUGACAAACUAUCAAAUUGAAGCCAAACAACGAAGUUCUGAAAACACAUUUGAUUAUAUCAUCAAUCCUCAAUUUACUUGCUCUACGCAAGGAAUUCCUUCAUGAUGAAAAUACACUCACCUCAUCUACGGGUCUCAGCAUAGUCAUCAGAUUGAUCAUUGUUCUCUGGCACAUGGUUGUUUUCUAACGGCUCACCGAAUUCAUUCUUACCAGCGUCAUAUCCCAAAUUAGAGUUGCUGCUGAAUUCACCACCAGCAGCAGAAGUAGUACCGACAUGGCCACCAGUAUAGCUGUCUGGGGCACCACCACUUGCAUAGCUUCCACUACUGUUAUAAUCAUUGCGACCAUAUGUACUACCACCACCACCACCGUAGUUUCCGCCACCAUAAUUUCCGCCACCAUAAUUUCCGCCACCACCACCAUAAUUUCCACCACCACCACUAUAGCCACCACCACCACCAUAGCCACCGCCGCCGCCAUAGCCACCGCCGCCACCAUAACCACCGCCACCAAACCCAGGACGCGCCCUUUCUGUAGCAUAGUUCACUCGUACUGUCCGACCAUCAAGUUCCUGUGACAACCAACAUAAUUUAGAUGCUACAAGAAACAUUGCCAACAUCGAGUUUUGCAAAGAGCAGCAAAAUGAGUCAAUUGAAAUAAACAGUAACAAUUACUAGUUGACAGUGAAAGACAACUGCCAUAUAAAAAAAAUUGUACAAAUAUAAGUUGGUAAAAUGUUUUACAAAAUCCUAUCCCUCUGUGCCACAAUAAUUGUCACAUCAUCACAAAAUUAUUACUACUCUCUAACCGAUACUAUAUGCAUCAUUCCCAGGUCAUUAUAUUUCAAUUUGCAUUUAUGAUAAAGGUGAAUACACCAAUGCUUAACAAGGAUAAUUUGGUAAAAAUAAUAUUCUCUAUCUUUCAUUAAUAGUUUUUCCUUGAAUUUGUGAAACAAGCAAGUAUGCAAAUUAUUAUAGGAUGGAGGUAUAUCUUUUUGGGCUUUUGAAAUCUAAUUCCCAUUUUGAAAGAAUUUGCAUGGUUUCUCUAAUAUCAUCCUUUUUAAAUAUAUUCUUCAAGAAAUCUAAAAAAUGUAAAAACAGAUUAUGUAGAACAAAGAAUCAUUAACAAAGAGAAUACCUUAGGAUAUUACAGCCACAUGUGCAUUUAUUAUUCCUAUCUUAUCUUGGCUAAAUAAAUGCAAUUGCUUCCUCCAAGUAUGAACAAAAGGUGUUUUACUAUUUCAUAAAUGAGGUAGUAAGUCAUGCUUGCCAUGUGAAUUGGUGAAUUUUAGAAUUUAAAGAUGAUAUCAUCACGAAAACUGAUAAUACCUUGUUAUCCAUGGCCUGCAGGGCAGAGGAUGCUUCCUCGCUCGUUGCGAAAGUUAUGAAGCCAAAACCUCGGGACCUUCCUGUAUCACGAUCCAUGAUAAUCUUUGCUGGAAGAACAUUAAAAAUGACAGGUUUCAGUGCAGAAAUCAAUAAUCCCCAUAUCAUGAAAUACAUAUGCUUAUCACAGCCACCUUUUCUAUAUGACUAUUAGUCUAUUACUUUCAAUGAAAAUUUUCUUUUACCAAAACAAAGUAACCGCUCUAUCAAAUCAUACAUAAAAGGCAUAGUUGCACUUUUGGUCCUCCAAAUAUCACAGUUGAGCGAUUUUGCCCUCCCUCCCCCACUUUAUUUUGAGCAAUUUUAGUCCCUUGUGUUUUUCCCUGUGAUUUGGUAGUCUCCCUCCAAAUUGACACUGAUGAGGCAUCAUUUAUUGCCGUGGCAUACAACUCUAAUAGACAACCGGACUUUUCUUUAAAAUUAAAUAUUAAAAACGCCAAAAAUCAACCCUUACAGGUGAGAGCGAAUGAAACCUCUAAUUAGGAUUUCAAACUUUUUGGUGGUUUUUGGCGUUUUUAAUAUUAAAUUUUAAAGAAAAGUCACACUAACUAUGAAAGUUGGAUGUCAGUAAAUGAGGUCGCCUUAGUGCAAAUUUGGGACGGGGACUAUCAAAUCAUAAAGGGCCAGAAUCACACGAUCACGAUACUCUGGGGGCGCCAAAAGUCUAAUAAAGUUUAUAUAAAAUAAGCAUCAUACUGGUUUGCUUUUGCUUUAGGUCAGAAUAUUAGAUUCGGAGACAGUUUACAAGUGGAAACUCAUGUUUUAUUUCAUAUUAACACCUGAUAUGAUGAAAAAAUGGUAGAUUGCAAGUCAGAAAGAAAAUUACCAUCAAGAACAUCUCCAUAGCGAGAAAAAGCUUCUCGGAGACCAGUUUCAUCAGUGCUAUAUGAAACACCUGCAUUGCAAUUGAAAUUUGAAAAAUUAUAGUCACAUUUCAUUUUUAAAAUUUAACAUGAUAGACAAACAUACCUCCAAUAAAAAGCUUUGCAGAUGACAUGGAUCUAAUUGCUUGAAAUAACGAAGGAGUAGACAUAGAUAAAUCAUGAUUGAUGUGCUUGACAGCAGAAUUCUGGAGUAACUUUCCCAUUUUACCGAAGAACGCCAUUGCUCAAACCUUGAAAACAUCAAACCUCGGAAAAUUAGUAUCGCUUAAACAAUAUAUCCAUCCAACUCUAUUCAUUGAUUUCUAAUAAACCACAAACUUGUAAGCAAAAAAACAUCUAAGAAAAAAAGCAGUAACAUUAACAUCACUCAAAAAUCAAAUCUCAGAAAAAUUUCAGUUAAUUUCUAUCAUUUUGAUUCUCUUUCUCUAACACCCAGUUGAAUUCUGUACAAUAAAAAUCAAAUCUUUCACAAUAUUAAGCUAACCUAGGUCAAAAAUACUGAAAAAAAAUAUAACUAAUAGAAACCCACUUAACAGGUAAAUAAGAACAAGAAGAAAUAAACAGUGAAAUCAGAAUUGAAAAAUGGGUAGUGAAAAAGUUGUGAUCUUGAGAUCUUAGUGCUUACCUUGAAAAGCGAUUAUGGCUGCUCCUGAAAUCGAAACGAAACAAUGAAAUGAAAUGAAAGUUCUUAAACCCUAAUAUUUUGUUUUUCUAGGGCUUUGGAGCUUGCCACGUGGCGGCUUAUGUGAUGUCUUGAUGCUUCUGCAUCAACCGUUUAUAUUUGAGUGAUCAAUGUGGUUAAGAAACUUCAAAAACCCCCUUAAUUUUUAAGAAAUUUCAAAAAACCCUCUAAAAUUGUAAAAUGUUAAUCAAUUACCCCUCCGUUUGUUUUGGUUGUUAAAUGACUUUUUUUUUUUUUUUUACUUUCUUCAUCUUUAAUCCUUCCACUUUUUUCAUCAUCUUCAUCAAUAUUCAUCAAAAAUUCAUAAAUAAGAAACAACAAUCAUUAACAUCAUCAUCAUCAUCUCAUUACUACACCUCCACCACCAUCAACAACAAUAACACCACCUAAGUUAAAGUUAUAAAUUUAAAGUUGUUUUCUCAAAGGUAUUAAAGCUGAAUGCAAAGGACAUGUUAACUCAUAACUUCACAAUUUUCAUGGAAAGUUUAUUUUUUGAAGUUACCAUAUUUUAAAUUAGGAGUAUUUUUUAAAUUAGAGUUGGAAUGUGACCCGAGUCCAAUGUUGUUAGAUAUAGAAGCAGAUUCAAUUUUUGCAUAAAUAGCAUAAUUAGUUCUUUAAAUUAGCACAUUUAUAAUUAGUUGUGGAUGUAUAGUAAUGAGAUGAUGAUGAUGAUGAUAUUGUUAAUGGUUGUUGUUUCUUAAAAAAAAAAAUCUGGAAUUUUUUAUGAAUAUUGAUGAAGAUGAUGAAAAAAGUGGAAGGAAGAAGAUGAAGAAAGCAAAAAAGAAAAAUUAAAAAAUAACAGCCAAAACAAACGGAGGGGGUAAUUGACUAACGUUUGACAAUUUCAAGGUUUUUUUUUAAGUUUCUUAAAAAUCAGGAGGAUUUUUGACGAAAGUUACAAUUUCAGGGGGCUUUUUGCCUAUUCACUCGUUUAUAUUUUCUCAGUCCCCACUUUUUUUUAUUGAUUGAUUUACAUUUGCAAAGUAAAUAUAUGGGUGUCUCAUCUCGUCUUUGGCUCUCUCUCAUGUUUUCCAUCAUGUUGAUCUUAAUCGCUCAUCAAACAAUAAAUAUUGUUAACCUCAUGUGGUAAAUCAAAAUGAGUGGAUGAGAUUGCACACGAUCAUUUAGCAAAUUGACAUCAAUCCAUAUUGACUUCUUUAUCGUGGAGUGAAAUUUAUAUUGCGCUGAUAAUGAAUUGUGGUUAUGUUUGUAAGUAAUUGUUAAAGAUGUUGAUUUGCAUGAGCCUGAUUUCAAUUAUGAUUUCUCAAAUUCUUCAUAUUUAAAGUAUGUAAGUACAAUCACCAUACUAGGUAAAUGAUGAGGGUGGUUCUAGAAGCAUUACGACUCCUUUUUCGCUUGAUAAAUUGUAUUAAAAAAUAAUAAUUUUAGGAUAAAUUUAAGGCAUUAAUUGCACUUUUUGUCUCCUAAAUUUUACAAUUAUGCGAUUUUGACCCCUCAAAUUUAAAAUGUGCCAUUUUAGCCCCUCAAGUUUACCUAUUUUUUAUUUUGAUGCCCCACAUACAUUUUGGCACUCGUGUGGCUAAUUUCAAUGAUGUGGCAUGCCUCAAGUGCAACAUGGCCAUUCCAUUUCUCGUGAAUUUUGUGGUUUGCAACCUAAUUAUGAAGACAAUAUACAUGUUUUGCUCCAAUGUCCUCUUGCAGUGUAGGUUUUGAGAGCGAUCAAUGUGGUUAAAUUGAAAUGGCAAUGGUUGUUCGAAUACCGAUAAUAGUGUGCAGCAACAACCAAAUGGUGGGGUGGGGGGAGGGGGUAUUUGCAAUCGAGACAAUAACUGGGGUUGUGCUUGUGAGGACUCUGGUUUUCAUUUGUGUUUAUUUGAUAUUCGAGAAGCAUUGAAGUAAGUUGAGUAAUAUUGAUUUUGUGCUUGAUUCAAACAAAGUGGUGGAUUGCUUUCACCCAGGUAGUAGAUACAUCAGAAAAUUUAGGACUAUUACAAAU
This 41288-nucleotide long non-coding RNA is filed under the name Medicago truncatula (barrel medic). RNAcentral's name for it is "long non-coding RNA (MTRU_LNC004704)". The stretch from base 20607 to 20721 matches the Rfam family "MIR2593 microRNA precursor family". Lineage: Eukaryota; Viridiplantae; Streptophyta; Magnoliopsida; Fabales; Fabaceae. The record is from RNAcentral.